Molecule: long non-coding RNA, 5700 nt
Organism: Hylaeus anthracinus
Lineage: Eukaryota; Metazoa; Arthropoda; Insecta; Hymenoptera; Colletidae
Exons: 3
Source: RefSeq, a predicted model, not a curated record
UUCGCCAUUUUUUUUUUAAUUAUAAGACACCUUGGACUUAGUCAUUUCGAGUUACGGCACUUUGAGGUUCUGCGAAGCUUAGGAAUGUUUCCUUCAUCGAAGGUCAAAGUGAAAAUUUCAUGGUGUGAUUCGGAUUGUUGUUGAUAGUGUGUAUUGCAAGGAUAACUAAAAAUGUACUUUAUCGCAAUUUUUAAAUUGUAAAUUAUCUCAUUGUUAGUUUCCAAGGAGGAUAUGUGAAAAUUAAAUUGAGACAAGGAUAACUAAACAUUACAUCCAGAUCUACGAUAAUAUUAAUAUCUGCGCCUAAUUAUAGAGGAAAGUUGAUAAAAAGUAAUCAAAAUGAAAAUAUUUUCGAUUUCUUAGCUAGAUAAUGUUACAAUCUGAACAAAGUCUAAAUUAAUCCAACUUGGGCAACUUUUCCCUACUCUCUCCAACAUAUUGUUUCCCAAAUUUCGUUAAACAGUGAUUUACGUAAAGAAAGUUCAUUGUUUGAUGCAAAUGGUAAUCAAUGACGCGGAAAAUACUACCAAAUAUUUAUUGUUAUUAAGUCCAGUGUGUGGAUAUUGAAAAAUAGAAAGAAAAAAAGAAAGGUAUGGGUAAAAGGAUUUCGCAAAACGCGAACGUAACAACGAGGAUGCGACGGAUUUAAUAAUUUACCAAUUGAAAGUGCAAUUACUCACCGUGCUCGGCGAUAAUUUCAAGUGACUGAAGGGCCCGCGAGACACAGACUACCUCAAGGGUUAAUUCCACCGAUAACGUUGCGGAGAUUUCCAGCCGAUCGAUCAUCCACUGGUUACGCUGAUGCAACUACCUGUAAAACCGCCAAAAAUUAACGCGAAGCGAUACUUGCCGCACCUAUUCCUCCAAAUGCACACGAUCUCGUGUUCGUGGCCGUCUCGCAAUCUCUAUACUCAUCGAUGAACGCAGAAUUGCAGUAAAAAUGGAAGAAAAUUGCGUCCUUGUUUGCCAAUUACCCUUCCAAUAACGAAUACAAGUAAAUUUAUAGGAAAUCUUAUUAAUACAAAUACAAUACAAAUUUCACGUGUUAAUUGUUUGACUGGUAAGUUUAUAAAAUCUCAACUAAAUUCAGUCUGCAAAGUCCUCUUUUCGUUCGUCGUGUUCAUUUUGUUUUCCGACUUAUUUGAUGGUUCAAUACUAAAAUUAAAUUUUCAAUAGUCGAUAAAUUCACAAAAUCUACAAAAUAGGUUUCAUCUUCUGUUAGUAUUUUACAUAACUAUCGUUGGUAAUUUGUCAAGUAAAGACCUUUGCUUGCCUUCGUUGCAACAAAUACAUUAACAAGAAUAGUUGGUUACUAAUCCCCCAAGGUGUCCCCACAAAAUUAAUUUAUCUAAAUUCUUGCACUUAGCUACUUUAAUUGUUAACGCUUAGAAUCUACAAACAUUUUAUGUAUUUUCAUAGAUUUCAAAAAUAUUGGUACCUAAAGAUAACCGAACAAAGUCGAAAACAGAAUGAACGAGGAACGUAAAUAAAACGAACGAUGAAGACGCCUGACAGGCAAAAUUAAGUUAUGAGACAUAAAUUUCAUCGCGUUAAAAGUUUCUAUUAAUAGCUACUCGCCCUUCUCGCGUAGUCAUGGCAUCUAUCAAUAUCGGGUAAUAUAUUCAUCCAAUUGUUAUUUCAUAGAAUAACUUUUGCUUUCGUUCGUAAAUACAUUAUAAUUCGCAUUUAUUAUUCGGCGUAACGAACGCUGAGUAACAUCGAUCGAUAUUUCGGAACAGCUACUCUUGGUAUGGUGGAAAAAGAGGAUAAACAUGUGAUGGGUACACACGAAAUGCAUAUACAGCGGUCACACGAUAAAUUCAGUGCUUCCGUCAGUUACUACAGCAACCAUAUUCUUCAUUUUAUGCAAACACACAUUCGACAAUACGCAUGGAGAUUGUUAUAGACGUGGUGAAAAGUAUGAUGAAUUACUUUACACCGCAUAUAUUAUUCUCUACAUAUUAUACUCUAUAUAAAUAUAAUGAUACGUAAAUUUACAAACUGUGUCAUUUGUAACGUUGAUACACCGUUUACACUAGAUAGAUCAAUGAUGUAACAUCACUAAUGAUUUGUCAAGUCUAAAUUAAAUACAUUACGUUAAAACAAACAAAUGAACUAUCGUAUAGUAUAUAAAUAUAUUCUUUAAGCUACUUGUAAUAGAAACAAUGCUUUCAAAGUAAAUAUAAGAAAGCAAACUUUAUUUUGCUCAAGAAUAUAACUAUAUUGUUUGUCCGUGAAAUUAUUUUCCCAAAUAUAAUAUCUGUCAUUCAUUCUAUCUUUCAUUCUUCCUCAGAAAAGUGUGUUCACUGCAAGACACUCAUAAUUAUGGAUUGAACCACACACUCCUCCAUUAGUCCUACCCUGAAUUCGCUACUGCUCAUCGGCUUCCGGCCAUGGUGACUUUGUCCAACCUGUAAAUAUGAGAUAUUCGUCGUGACAUCAAAAAAUUACGAAACCAACGUGAAAACAGAUGCCCAAAAUGAAAGAAAGAUUCUUCCACGCUACCUAAAAUCCCUUCCAAAAUCGCGCAAUCAAUGAUAUCAACCCAGACUGAUUUAGCAACGACCUAACCUCGAACCGCGGUGCCUAUUCGCGCGCGCCAUCAUCCAGCAAUGGCGCUGCUUCCGCGACACGACAAGGAUCUCUUCGAUCGUUGCCCCGGCGUCGAAAAUUACACGUUUCGUACGUCGUCGCCGCAUAGACGCUUUCGCGUAUUAUUGGACGAGCAUCCCGUGUUCGAGGAUGCUUUAAAAAUCGCCUUUCAUAAUCACGUCACAGAAACAUUAAUCUCCGGCGUAGAGCUCGCUCUGUAUUAUCGAACAACAUCGUCCCUGAAGUUUCUCGUAAUGGCGGCCGUUCUCGCCGCACGGGGCCCAUAGGCGCGUAAAUAUCAGCACGAAUGAGCACCGACAAGCAAAGGAAAAGACCGGCUCUAGCUGCGCUCGUCUCGAGGCACCGGCGCUAGAGGGACAGAGACGGCGAAACUUAGUGACAAAGAACGAAAAAGAGGAAGAGGGGGCUAGCAAAUAGAAAAAGAGAGGAACCGAGGGGCCGUCAUAAUUCCUUGAAUUGAACGGCUGGUUAUUCUCCACCAAGGUUACCGACGCAGAGGAUGAACGAAGCGGGCAGGCCAGGCAAAGCAGGCUAGCAACCUAGCGGGCAGACUACCAUGCAAGCAAGUAAGCAAACGAGCGAGGCAGGCAAGGCGGUCGGGCAGGCCAGGCAAGCAGACAGGCAAGCUGGCUGCCAGCGAGACGCGGAGAGGAGAGGAGAAAAUCAAAAGAGAGGGGAUACAUGACGAGUAGGACGAGUAGGACGAGUAGAGGUUAGGUGCGAGCGAUGGGAGGAAGGGAGGGGAAUCGAUAGAACGACAAGGACGGGGCGCGCAGAGUAUAUGCCGCAGCACGGCAGCAUCAGGCGUCGUCGGCGGUACAUGGACUGCGGAGCUCGGAGGGGGGAACGUCAGGCUGGCAAGCUCAUGGGAGAGAGAAGUGAACGGCGGACGAGAGCUCACGGGGCGACAAGGAAGGGGAUUGGUCGAAGCGGUGGUGCGACUGGGGGAAUGAAGGAGGGCAACACGAUCGGGUCGCUAAAUUUGCAAGAGAAGGAAGGAUGGAGCGAGAAGAGUGGGGAGACAGAGCGAGAGAGAUAGAGAUGGAAACGUUGACGUCGAGGAUCGAGGUGAGCGAAACAGAGCGAAGAGGGGAGCGGACGGGCGGUGGGUCGACAGCACGAGAGAGGGAUGAAGGGGUAAAGGGAGGUAGAGCCGACUUUAUGCAGCUGCGGGACGAUAACAACGAUGGGCUACAGGACCGCCGCUAUAGCUGGGGAAAUGCCAAAUGGGCUACAGGACUGCGCCGGUCUAGCUGUACGUUCGCUCGCUCGUAGUGGCAUGGCGGACGGGCGGCAGAGAGAAGCAGGCAGGAAAGGCGGGAAGGAGAGAGGGAUUUCAAGCGGUCGUCUCUUCUCGUCUGCCUCUACGCUCUACCUAUGUAUAUAUCCACCUACCUACCCGUCCCGGGUGCUCUCUCCGGGUACUCUUCUCUCUACUGCCUGGAACGCACCGUCCUGGGGGUACCUAACCUCUACUGUUUUCAGCGGCUAGCGCCCUUGCUGAUGUUUCUCGGCAUCGGAGCACGUAGUCGCUUAGUUACGCAGACUUCGAUAUCAUUCAUCUUGAGCGAGGUCGAUCAUUGUCCUCUUUCGAGGACCUUAUGUCCUUACGAAUAUGAUGUCACGCGCAUCUUAAGAAGACGUAUAAGAAGAACAUGCCAACGGCUAUAAUUCUUUACGAAAAUUCCGCGAGAUGGAGUUAGCUUUGCCCGUAUAGUGUCUGCGCCAAUAGGUCGCAUCGUUUGGAACUGCCUUUCACAGCAAAAGAUGCUUCAUGUCCACUAUAAGCACAGGAAAGGAAGACAAUGUGACAGAGAAACUGCACAGGCGUGGAUGGUCACCUCCCUUCAAGGCAGAAGAACUUUUACAGGAACCUAACCUAGCAGCAAUCCGGCUAAUCACCGAGUUCCUAAAAGAAAAUAACAUUACAGAUUUAACAGGAGACAAAAUAACAAUACACACAACACUCUGAAUCACAGAAGGACACCAACAAUACAAUAAACACAGAAAUAUAUACAGACAUUACUACACUUAGAAUAAAAUUAUAUCUAGUAUAAAGAAAUACACUUAGACUAAGAUGACUUCUACUAUUAAGUAUUAUAUGUAGUAGUGUAAAUAUUCCUAUUUUUGUAUUUUUUAUAUUAAGGACUAAUAGACCUACUCAGCUUUAAAGUCGGUAUCUGUUUAUUUUUUAAUAAACGCCAAACAAACAACAAAAGAUGCUUCAAGACCUGACAAAAGAUGGACACAAUUCCCCAGUUAAUUUUGUAAAUUUCCUAAUGUAUAAGAAAAAGAACGUCUUUGUACCAAACGUAAUAUGCACUGGUUAUGACUGUAUGAUGAACACAGAGUCAUCGUUUGUUGACCUCGAUGCUAAAUAAUUCCAGUUCUAAGUAAUCGAAACAAAUACCUGCCUUUGAAAUGGAUCCGAAUGUUUGGGUUGCUUCGAUUUGUCAGAAAUUCCGUACUCGUGCGAUGAGUUACAUUCUCGGAAGGCGGGUAAAUCUUUUCGAACGGUUGCGCGUGGCUUUUCAAUAGGGAGUAUCUGGGGCAGCACUCAAAGUAUCUUUACCGGCUAAAGUACCGUGAUUUUAUAACGUAUUAUACAGUUAAAAGGGGUAAUUCCUUUACUUAUAUGAAAGAAACGACGUUCGUUAAUCUAAAUAAAUUUCCUUUCAACUGUAUCAACGUAACUACAUAACAAAAUAUGCUAAUAAACCAUUUACCAUGUACGGCUACGCAACCUGUUGUCAAUAAACAGUAAUGAAAUUGAAUCGUCAGUUUCACAACAAUGUGACCCCCAGCUACACGAAGAAUACAAACAACCGAAUAGACGGUACACGAAAAACGAAAACAAAGAAUAUAUCUGAAGAACAUACAGACCGUGAAAAUCCAUAUUUAAAAUGCCAGAAUUUCUCGUUCAUGACGAAAAUUAAUAAUUCAUCCCUUCUCUGUUCCCUACUUCCGAAUUCCGACCAGAAAAUUUGGAUUUGACAUUGAAAAACUACGCGAAUCCACGAGCAAACGUUCGAUCGAUAAAUUAAUUUGUCGAAAACGUCGUGAAUUAAUCAAGGAAUUCUAAAGGUA